GGUUGAAGCAAAGUAAACCUACUCCAUAUACACCCCAGCUCAGGCACUGCCUGGUCUGUAUUGUGAAUGGGGAGACAUAG
This 80-nucleotide small nucleolar RNA is filed under the name Castor canadensis (American beaver). RNAcentral's name for it is "Small nucleolar RNA SNORA51 (ENSCCNG00000004822.1)". It matches the Rfam family "Small nucleolar RNA SNORA51". From Rfam's summary of the family: ACA51 is a member of the H/ACA class of snoRNA that guide the sites of modification of uridines to pseudouridines. Lineage: Eukaryota; Metazoa; Chordata; Mammalia; Rodentia; Castoridae. The record is from RNAcentral.